GCCGCUUUAGCUCAGCUGGUAGAGCAUCGCAUUCGUAAUGCGGGGGUCGCGUGUUCGAGUCACGCAAGCGGCA
RNAcentral lists this transfer RNA (73 nucleotides) under Brevundimonas sp. Leaf363. It matches the Rfam family "tRNA". Rfam says of the family: Transfer RNA (tRNA) molecules are approximately 80 nucleotides in length. Their secondary structure includes four short double-helical elements and three loops (D, anti-codon, and T loops). Further hydrogen bonds mediate the characteristic L-shaped molecular structure. tRNAs have two regions of fundamental functional importance: the anti-codon, which is responsible for specific mRNA codon recognition, and the 3' end, to which the tRNAs corresponding amino acid is attached (by aminoacyl-tRNA synthetases). tRNAs cope with the degeneracy of the genetic code in two manners: having more than one tRNA (with a specific anti-codon) for a particular amino acid; and 'wobble' base-pairing, i.e. permitting non-standard base-pairing at the 3rd anti-codon position. Lineage: Bacteria; Pseudomonadati; Pseudomonadota; Alphaproteobacteria; Caulobacterales; Caulobacteraceae. The record is from Rfam by way of RNAcentral.